GUGUCAGCCGCCGCGGUAAUACGGAGGGUGCAAGCGUUAAUCGGAAUUACUGGGCGUAAAGCGCGCGUAGGCGGCUUUGUAAGUCGGAUGUGAAAGCCCCGGGCUUAACCUGGGAAUUGCAUUCGAUACUGCAUAGCUAGAGUAUGGUAGAGGGUAGCGGAAUUCCGGGUGUAGCGGUGAAAUGCGUAGAUAUCCGGAGGAACACCAGUGGCGAAGGCGGCUACCUGGACCAAUACUGACGCUGAGGUGCGAAAGCGUGGGGAGCAAACAGGAUUAGAAACCCCCGUAGUCC
This 292-nucleotide ribosomal RNA is filed under the name uncultured bacterium. RNAcentral's name for it is "partial 16S ribosomal RNA". It matches the Rfam family "Bacterial small subunit ribosomal RNA", at positions 505 to 796 of the family's 1533-position model. The record is from RNAcentral.